This is a long non-coding RNA of Melospiza melodia melodia, 3042 nucleotides long. RefSeq lists it as uncharacterized. NCBI's taxonomy places the organism in Eukaryota, Metazoa, Chordata, Aves, Passeriformes, Passerellidae. The record is from RefSeq and is a predicted model, not a curated record. The transcript is spliced from 3 exons.
CUGCCUCUCGGGAUGGAAGAGAGAGAAGAGCAGGCACAUGAACCCUGAGUGCACCUAUGAGAUGGGCCAGGCUGUAUCACCAUUCUUCCACUCUUUUCAUCCAGCUGUAUCAGGCUGUAUAGAUUUGAAAAGUAGAAUCAAGAGGGAAACGAAUGAAACAAGGAAUAAGGAGUUGAAAUUCAUCUGAGUUUUGAUCCUAAAGUGACUACCAGACUAUUUUUGCAACAUUCUGCCACUGCUGCAGUCAUCAGAGAAAUCAACUGAAACCAUCUUAGUUUUGAAGCUGUCUCAAGUGGAUGCGACAGCUGGAAGACUUCUAAAAAUAGUGGAUUUACCAAAAUUACAGACCCAGAAUCUUUCCCCUUUCUCCCUAUUUUGUAAAAAUUACAGCAGGCAGACCGCAAUAUUUUUCUAUGUGUGUUAAAUUUAUUGAAUCUUAAUCUCUGUUUAUAUUCUCUUCAUACUCUGGUAAUUGACAUACCUGUAGUGUAUCCCACUUUGCCACAGUGACAAGAGACUGCCUAGACUAGAAAAACUUUUGAAAGGCAAUAAGUGAGAUCAUAUUAAUUUAAGCCACAUUCAUCCACUUGAGACCUUCAUACAAUUAAAGAAAAAAAAAUCAUGCUCUGUAAUCUAUAUACUUAAUGUGUUCCACAAAAGCCACCAACAAUAAACUUAUAAACAAUCAGUGGCUUCACUUUAAUUGCUUAACAUACCUUAGUGGAAGGGUAGAACCUUAAAAAACAAGCACAUUUGCAUGAUUUUUGUCAUGGAUUAUACCAAAGUGUCUACACAUGUACAGAUGUGCUGUGGCGCUGAACAGCCUGCAGUUCACAGCCAAGGAUUAUAAAGAAAAAAGUUACUUUGUAUAGUGCUUUCUUCUUACAGAAGGUAUUAUGUUAGUGUCCUCUUUUCAGAUUUCUUUAUGUUUACUUGAAAAUUGCUAAAUUGGUCAGUUUGUGAAUUUUUUUGAAAAUAACCAUAUUGUCAGGAAGUACACUCUUCUCAUUGCCUACACAUGGUAAUCAUGGGAAAAGCCACAAUCAACAGUUUUUCCAAAUAACAAUUUUUUACCCUUUCUGCAUCUUCCACUUUCCAGCUCUGGCCUUUCAGUUUCUCAUGGCCAUUCCCUCAAAGCCAUCAGAAAACUGGGAGACACCUGAAUAUGCUGACUCUUAUGUUCUGCUCAUUUCUUUUGAAAGCACGAUCCUCAUUUGAUUAGCAGUGAGCAAGAACAGGCAACCCUCUAAAGCUGCUAAAAGGAGAGUUGCUGUAAUGAACAGAGAAAAUAAACCUACAUGAGCAUUCAGCUGUACACAGGCUGUGGAGCAAAGUCAAACUGCACCACUUGUGGCUUUGUUUGAGUAUCAUUUCACAAGGGCCUGAGAAGGGGACUGGAAUUACUAGUGAAAAGGCAUAGCAUGAAAAAUGGCAAUAACAGGUGCAUGUUUUAAUAGCAUUAGCCAGCAACACCUGUAACUGAUAGACCAGAGCAUGGGACUUCUAAUAAAUGGAUACUGUCCAUCUCUAUAAUUAUAUGCUGGAAAAUUUCAUUUCUAAAAUCUGUGAUAAAUUACUACAGAAUGGAAGGCAUGCUGGCACCUUUCCAGUCAUUGAGUUCUUAGCCUCAUUUCAGACUUUGCCCAAAGGACCUGCAUUAGAUAAGCAAAAGAUUAGGGUGGAUGCAUCUGGACAGAAUCUGAAUGAGGGUGGAAUACAGACUGCUUGUGUAUCUGAAGCAACACCACUAUGGGAGGAAUUGUGGUUCCCACAGACUAGCAAAGAAUAUCAAGGCUGAUAAAUGCAUUGAGAAAAUGGGGGACAGUAAUUUUCUGAGAAUGAUGCAAUGAAGACGAAGAUGGUGCAGGGUAAGAAAAUUGGUAUUAAAUGAGAAAUAUAUGUGGACCAACCACAAGCAUAAUUUCCCUUGAGACUAAGUGAGUGUGAGGAUAAAUGUCUGGAAGCAGUCUCAGCACUAGGGGUUCAGAAGAACGAGGAAAAAGGAAGCAAAGCAAAGCUGUAUGAAAACUGAAUAGAACAGUGCUAUAGGAUACUUCCGAGGAAUUCCAUUAAAACAGGAUUUUCUCCCAUCCCACAGAGGUUUAACUGCCUGUCAGACAUAUAUGAUUUUUACACCAGACUUCCCAGUAAGUACAAAUUGCUCUCAGCACAUUUCAAGAACAUUUGUUAGGCCAUUUUAAGAGUUGGAAGCCAGUUGUAGUUUGGGAGCUGUUUUGUAGCUGAAAAUUAGCUGAUUUUAUAAAAUCAGUCCAUAAUGGUGAUUAGCCUCUUCAAAAAUCUUUUAUGUAAUAAUAAUUGAGAAGUCUAAUAUUUUCAAAUUGACUACUAAAUAUGUAAUGCUUUUAUAUCUAAAAUAAGUUGUGGCUGAAUUUGGUGCAUAUAAAGGCAAAGGACAAACCACACCAGCACAACUCAAAGACUGCAUGAAGAUACUCCUCAAGCUUUCACAUACAGCUAUAACUGCAUUCAAGUUCUUAUCUGCGAUACUUCCAUGUGAGACGUGGGCAAAGUCCUUGCAAAUAGUGGCAGCUCUGUGUGUGGUUCUGAUCACAACUCUUUCUCAUCCCAUGAGUAUUCCCACUGCCAUCUUUCAGUCCAGUUGGACUGCUCAAAGUCAUAAAUGUAAAAAGAAUAAAGUUAUUUCUUCCAGUAGGACAUAAUCCAAAAAUCUCAUUACUUUUAGACUUACAAAUCAUGUGAUCCUGUCUGGACUCUAUAAAAAAUUUUGAGUAUUCUGAUACUGUCAAUAACAGCUUUCAGGGAAAAUUCUGCUCAGUAAAAGCUUUAAUAUCUCAUUCUUGCUCUGGCUGUAAACACACAUCAAAAUAUUAUAUUGGAGUCUCCUGCUGAAUGAAUGUUCCCUUCUCCAAUCUAUGUAACUAAUUUUGAUUUUAGAAUGCAAAGCGUUUUAUUUCAUUUUGUGAAUUUGAAUUUGUAAGAUGAAGACAACUCAUUCAAUGCUAUUCCAUCUCCCUCUGAGACAUGCAAUAAACAUGGGUGAUAUACUGGUUUUAAGACCUA